This 253-nucleotide ribosomal RNA is filed under the name uncultured bacterium. Its description in RNAcentral is "partial 16S ribosomal RNA". It matches the Rfam family "Bacterial small subunit ribosomal RNA", at positions 524 to 776 of the family's 1533-position model. The record is from RNAcentral.
UACAGAGGUCCCAAGCGUUGUUCGGAUUCACUGGGCGUAAAGGGUGCGUAGGCGGUCGGGUAAGUCUGAUGUGAAAUCUCACAGCUUAACUGUGAAACUGCAUUGGAUACUAUCCGGCUAGAGGAAUGGAGGGGAGACUGGAAUACUUGGUGUAGCAGUGAAAUGCGUAGAUAUCAAGUGGAACACCAGUGGCGAGGGCGAGUCUCUGGACAUUUCCUGACGCUGAGGCACGAAAGCCAGGGGAGCAAACGGG